CAGUAUUGACUGCUUUGUAGUCUUACUCAACACUCAACCACCGUGCAUUGUUUCGUGGCGUUCGCGUCACCACACUUUCACCACUGAUUGAGUAACACAUACAUAAAAUACGCAUA
This 116-nucleotide unclassified non-coding RNA is filed under the name soil metagenome. RNAcentral describes it as "partial internal transcribed spacer 1". The record is from RNAcentral.